This 375-nucleotide long non-coding RNA is filed under the name Linum usitatissimum (flax). RNAcentral describes it as "long non-coding RNA (LUSI_LNC002637)". The record is from RNAcentral. Lineage: Eukaryota; Viridiplantae; Streptophyta; Magnoliopsida; Malpighiales; Linaceae.
GUUGGGAAGAGAGACUUCGAGCAGCAGAUGGAGAGCGUUGGAAAGAUGGGUCAUCAUCUGAACGUGGUUCCUCUACGUGCUUAUUACUAUUCCAAGGAUGAGAAGCUCCUGGUCUAUGAUUACCUGCAAGUGGGAAGCUUUUCUUCUCUGUUGCAUCAUGGUAUGGAUAUUAAAAUGAGUUAGUCCGUCUGAUAAAAAAAUCAGUUGAUAAAUAUGAUAAACUGACCUUUUGUUCUUGAUGGCGCAGGAAACAGUGCUGUUGCAGACUGGGAAACUAGAGUAAGCAUCUGCCUCGGAGCUGCAAGAGGAAUUGCUCAUAUCCAUUCCGGUGGGAGGCAUGUCCACGGCAACAUCAGAUCUUCGAACGUGUUGCUG